This 946-nucleotide long non-coding RNA is filed under the name Homo sapiens (human). RNAcentral's name for it is "HSALNT0365222". Lineage: Eukaryota; Metazoa; Chordata; Mammalia; Primates; Hominidae. The record is from RNAcentral.
UGAAGAUUCUGCUGCUUAAAAAGGUUUGAAAACGUGACAGAUUAUUGUAUAUUAUGAAUUACAUAUAGUUGCAUGAUUUUACAACUCCAUUAUUUAUUUAUUUAUUUUUGCAGGCAGUGGGGAGCCAUGGAAAGUUUCUGAACAGAGAAGCACUUAUUGGGAACUGUCAGAGCUAUGCUUCAGGAGAUGAAUCUGGCAACAACGUUAAUAUUAAUGCCCUGUACAUCCUGAGUACAUGUUUCCAGAAAGAGGUGAUCCAGGAGGCUGCCAAGUGGCCUGCAGGUGACAUCCAGAGGGCAGAAAAUGCCCAUGCAGGUCCACGUGUGGGUCCUUAAGCCCCUUGAGGAAAAGGGAGGAGAAAAGGACAAAGAAGGCUCUCCCUUUCCCUUGGAUCCCCUUCUACUCCCACAUGCCUAGUGGGAGCCUCCCUCUUCUGCUUGAGCCUUCAGGACAGGUUCAGGACCCUGUCUCCUACCUGGCUGGGCCAGAAAUGAGGAACAUGUUGCAAGCCUUCCUCCACCUGACUUGCCAAGUCCAUACAGGCUGGGGCCUUAGAUCCAACAACUUAGAAAGGGUGCCCACACUCCUGUUCUUUAGAAGAAAGGGACGGCAGGAGUCUGAUCAUCUGUCCGAUGCCCACACAGUGGCUGUGCUGAGUGACGUGUUGUUUUGAGGAUGUCCCUACCCCCUGGUCUUGCCGUCGGUCUCCAGUACCCAGCGAAGCAAGCUGUGGGCUCUGAGGAGCUCACACCAGGGAGGAGCUGCCCUGGAGUGGAGCAACAGCAUGUCCUCUCCCCUGUGUGACUGCAGUGCUAUAAUAAUAAUAACAGAAAGCUGGCAUUUCUUGAGCUCUUACUGUGUGCCAGAGACACCGCUCUAAGUGCUUACACAUAUGUAUUCGUUUUCUGUAGUUGCUGUAACAAAUUAUCACAAACUUUAAACAUUG